Long non-coding RNA from Solanum verrucosum, 460 nucleotides. RefSeq lists it as uncharacterized. The transcript is spliced from 2 exons. NCBI's taxonomy places the organism in Eukaryota, Viridiplantae, Streptophyta, Magnoliopsida, Solanales, Solanaceae. The record is from RefSeq and is a predicted model, not a curated record.
GUUAUCUUCUGAUAUUAAUUCAUCUUGGAGACUCUUCAUGCUAGUGCUCGGUCUUGUCGCUACAUUCAUCUUCCAAUUGUUAUAGGGUAAAAAAGAGUUGACUGUUGUCGAAGGAAAUCAAUUAUGAAGUUUUGACAAGUUUCUUUGAAUUUCUUCUGAUUGGAAACUCAAGCUUCAAUGACGUUCUAGCUUUUGUGAUGAAACUCAACCUUGAUGAUGAUGUUCUUGCUUUUCUGAUGACCUUCUUUCUGUUUGGAGAAGAUGUUUAAUGGACUGUUUGGCUGUCCUUGCAAGUUUUGUGGCCAUCUAUAGCGCCGCCCUAUGCCAUCUUCAGGGUGCUUGCCCUUCUGUAAUUAGUCUUUUACUACCUCUGACUAAAGUUAAUGCUGUUUUCUAUACCUUGCUAUAUUCUGCGAAUAUGAAAUAGAUUUGACAUUUAUAAGGUUCAAACUUAUACUAA